GAUGAACGCUAGCUACAGGCUUAACACAUGCAAGUCGAGGGACCGGCGCACGGGUGAGUCACACGUAUCCAACCUUCCCUUUACUCGGGGAUAGCCUUUCGAAAGAGAGAUUAAUACCCGAUAUAAAGGAUGGGGAUGCGUUCCAUUAGGUUGUUGGUGAGGUAACGGCCCACCAAGCCUUCGAUGGAUAGGGGUUCUGAGAGGAAGGUCCCCCACAUUGGAGAUGAGACACAGUCCAAACCCGUACGGGGGGGAGCGGAGAGGAAUAUUGGUCAAUGGGGGUUAGCCUGAACCAGCCAAGUAGCGUGAAGGAUGAAGGCUUAUGGGUCGUAAACUUCUUGUAGAUAAGAAUAUGUAUUAUAUGAAUAAGGAUCGGCUAACUCCGUGCCAGCCGCCGCGGUAAUAC
This 406-nucleotide ribosomal RNA is filed under the name uncultured bacterium. RNAcentral describes it as "partial 16S ribosomal RNA". It matches the Rfam family "Bacterial small subunit ribosomal RNA", at positions 28 to 526 of the family's 1533-position model. The record is from RNAcentral.